RNAcentral lists this ribosomal RNA (501 nucleotides) under uncultured bacterium. Its description in RNAcentral is "partial 16S ribosomal RNA". It matches the Rfam family "Bacterial small subunit ribosomal RNA", at positions 28 to 506 of the family's 1533-position model. The record is from RNAcentral.
GAUUAACGCUGGCGGCGUGCCUAACACAUGCAUGUCGAGCGGCAGCGAGUUUUACACUGAAUUCUGGAAGCUUCUAGUUGCAAGAGAAGAUUUAUUCAAGAAUUUUGUGUAAAAUGUCGGCGAGCGGCGGACGGCUGAGUAACGCGUGGGAACGUACCCCAAAGUGAGGGAUAACGCAUCGAAAGGUGUGCUAAUACCGCAUAUGGUCUUCGGAUUAAAGCCUUCGGGCGCUUUGGGAACGGCCUGCGUAAGAUUAGAUAGUUGGUGGGGUAAUGGCCUACCAAGUCGACGAUCUUUAACUGGUUUGAGAGGAUGAUCAGUCAGACUGGAACUGAGACACGGUCCAGACUCCUACGGGAGGCAGCAGUGAGGAAUCUUCCACAAUGGGCGAAAGCCUGAUGGAGCAACGCCGCGUGCAGGAUGAAGGCCUUCGGGUUGUAAACUGCUUUUAUAAGUGAGGAUUAUGACAGUAACUUAUGAAUAAGGAUCGGCUAACUACGU